GCGCAACCCCUAUUGUUACGUUGCCAUCAUUCAGUUGGGCACUCUAGCGAGACUGACCGGUAAUAAACCGGAGGAAGGUGGGAUGACGUCAAAUCAUCAUGCCCUUAUGACCUGGGCUACACACGUGCUACAAUGGUUGGUACAACGAGUUGCGAGUCGGUGACGGCGAGCUAAUCUCUUAAAGCCAAUCUCAGUUCGGAUUGUAGGCUGCAACUCGCCUGCAUGAAGUCGGAAUCGCUAGUAAUCGCGGAUCAGCACGCCGCGGUGAAUACGUUCCCGGGCCUU
Molecule: ribosomal RNA, 285 nt
Filed under: uncultured Streptococcus sp.
Lineage: Bacteria; Bacillati; Bacillota; Bacilli; Lactobacillales; Streptococcaceae
Description: partial 16S ribosomal RNA
Rfam family: Bacterial small subunit ribosomal RNA
Source: RNAcentral